AUUGAACGCUGGCGGCAGGCUUAACACAUGCAAGUCGAACGGAACCUUCGGGUUUAGUGGCGAACGGGUGAGUAACACCUAGGAAUCUGCCUAUUAGUGGGGGAUAACGGCUCGAAAGGGUCGCUAAUACCGCAUACGUCCUACGGGAGAAAGAGGGGGAUCUUCGGACCUCUUGCUAAUAGAUGAGCCUAGGCCGGAUUAGCUAGUUGGUAGGGUAAAGGCCUACCAAGGCGACGAUCCGUAGCUGGUCUGAGAGGAUGAUCAGCCACACUGGAACUGAGACACGGUCCAGACUCCUACGGGAGGCAGCAGUGGGGAAUAUUGGACAAUGGGGGCAACCCUGAUCCAGCCAUGCCGCGUGUGUGAAGAA
Molecule: ribosomal RNA, 370 nt
Filed under: uncultured bacterium
Lineage: Bacteria
Description: bacterial SSU rRNA
Rfam family: Bacterial small subunit ribosomal RNA
Source: RNAcentral